This 425-nucleotide ribosomal RNA is filed under the name uncultured prokaryote. Its description in RNAcentral is "bacterial SSU rRNA". It matches the Rfam family "Bacterial small subunit ribosomal RNA", at positions 355 to 796 of the family's 1533-position model. The record is from RNAcentral.
UAACGAAUCUUCCGCAAUGCGCGAAAGCGUGACGGAGCAAUGCCGCGUGCAGGAUGAAGCCCUUCGGGGUGUAAACUGCUGUCAGGGUUUAGCAACUCAAUGAGCAAACCCAAAGGAAGGGCCGGCUAACUUCGUGCCAGCAGCCGCGGUAAUACGAAGGGCCCGAGCGUUAAUCGGAAUCACUGGGCUUAAAGCGUACGUAGGCGGGCGCGCAGGCAUCCUGUGAAAGCCCUCGGCUCAACCGAGGAACUGCUUGGUGAACCGCGCGUCUUGAGGCAAGUAGGGGCUGUCGGAACGCUAGGUGGAGUGGUGAAAUGCGUUGAUAUCUAGCGGAACGCCGAAGGAGAAAUCAGGCAGCUGGGCUUGUUCUGACGCUGAGGUACGAAAGCGUGGGGAGCGAACGGGAUUAGAUACCCCCGUAGUCC